GUGGUUUAGUGGUUAGAGCAUCCGCCUCGGAUGCGGGAGGUCGUGGGUUCGAUCCCCGGUCAAGUCA
Molecule: non-coding RNA, 67 nt
Organism: Potamilus streckersoni
Lineage: Eukaryota; Metazoa; Mollusca; Bivalvia; Unionida; Unionidae
Source: the annotation of a GenBank genome assembly